CAGUUGUGUGCGUGAGGGCUAAAGCUCAGAAAACUUUAUUUUAUCCCCUGCCGGCGCUCUUCUCUAGUCAUGCUUAAAGUCAAGGGGACAGCGACCUCCUUGCUUCAAGUCAAGAUAACUACGCCCCCUUCCCUGCCCCUUUUCUGUGACUGACAGGGCU
This is a long non-coding RNA of Bufo bufo (common toad), 160 nucleotides long. RefSeq lists it as uncharacterized. The transcript has 3 exons. NCBI's taxonomy places the organism in Eukaryota, Metazoa, Chordata, Amphibia, Anura, Bufonidae. The record is from RefSeq and is a predicted model, not a curated record.